AAGCUAAAGAAUAUAUUGCUACGUUUGAGCUCCUCUUUGUGAGGCCAGUAAAUGCUGUCCCAUUUCUCAGAGUCGAUUUCAGUAAAACAUCAAUGACACUUAUUAUGGAAUUUCCAGGAACUUAAGUGCUACUUACAAGUAAUAUACCAGUAGGGAGGUAGCAAGAUAUCUAUCUAUAGAACCAUGUUUCUGCCAUACUAAUGGACAAACAAAGCAAAAAAUCUUUAAAAUAAUUCCAAUCACACGCAUAUCAGGUGACAUUGCCCACACACUUAGUUGUCUCCCUGCCUCAGAAUGCGCAGGAUGGUCAAGAACAGGUUCAGAACAUCCAGGUACAGAGUGACAGAUGCCCAGAUGUAUUCAUCAUAUGUAAACCUCUUAAUCAGGUUGUCUGUGUCAUAUAUAAUGUAUCCACAGAAAAUUAUAGCACUCAUUGCACUGUAAACAGCACUAGUUGUAGAUCCGAGAGGGAAGAACAUCUGCAUAAAUCCAGUCAGGAUAAGUACAAAGAGGCUAGUAAAGAGUAUUGGACCCAGGAAGCUGAAGUCCUUGCCCUUCUUAGAAGCCCAGAAUGUGUAACCGGUCAAAGCUGAAACUACAGCUGAUGUCAAGAGUAAAGCUUCAAGCACAAUUCUUCCAUCGGUAUUAGCACAGGUCACACCCACUGUGAGACUCAAAGAAGCAGUGAAGAGGCCAAGGAAAAUAAAAUUCAAUGGAUGCUUCUGCUGGUAUAUGUGCAAGGGCCACAACAGAACGAAUGGAAGGAAAAUGAGGAAGAGAAGAAGGCCAGGACUUCCACGAAGGAGAUCGUUGAUCGGCGUAUAAAGUACAGUCACGGCGGAUACAAGGGUGGUGAGAAGGAUCUGAGCAGCGAGAAUCCCAUAAACUUUACGAAUAAAACCCCAACGCAAUUGAUUCUCACCAUAUCCAAGACCUGGAUACAAGGUUCCUUCCUCUAUAUCACCUUUGAUUCCUCCAUCACUCUCCGUCCUCAAACUCGUGAAUCCGUACAUUUUCUCUCUCUCUCUCUGCAACUGCAAUGAAUAAGGUUUGUUGCGGUGGAAUAGAGAAGAAAGAGUAUUAUUCCUCAAUUUUUUUGGAUAAUUCCAAUUAAGAAAAUAAUAAGUAAGAAGUUU
Molecule: unclassified non-coding RNA, 1136 nt
Filed under: Hevea brasiliensis (rubber tree)
Lineage: Eukaryota; Viridiplantae; Streptophyta; Magnoliopsida; Malpighiales; Euphorbiaceae
Source: RNAcentral